Molecule: small nucleolar RNA, 109 nt
Organism: Magnolia sinica
Lineage: Eukaryota; Viridiplantae; Streptophyta; Magnoliopsida; Magnoliales; Magnoliaceae
Source: RefSeq, a predicted model, not a curated record
UAACCAUGGUGUGGGCAGGCGAGAAGUAAGUCCUUGAACCAUUCCCUACAUUCAAAGAAGGUCUCAUUAUUUUUCUAGGAGAAGUUCAUUAUUUCUCGUUUAUGAGUGU